This 64-nucleotide transfer RNA is filed under the name Empis livida. Its description in RNAcentral is "tRNA-Arg". The record is from RNAcentral. Lineage: Eukaryota; Metazoa; Arthropoda; Insecta; Diptera; Empididae.
GAAUAUGAAGCGAUAAAUUGCAAUUAGUUUCGACCUAACCUUAGAUGACACUCAUCCUUAUUCU